GAUCUGCGGAAGGAUCAUUG
RNAcentral lists this ribosomal RNA (20 nucleotides) under Quercus michauxii (swamp chestnut oak). RNAcentral's name for it is "partial 18S ribosomal RNA". Lineage: Eukaryota; Viridiplantae; Streptophyta; Magnoliopsida; Fagales; Fagaceae. The record is from RNAcentral.